CUAAUAAUUCUCUAGUGGCGCACGGGUGAGUAACACGUAAGUAACCUGCCCCCGAGAGCGGGAUAGCCCUGGGAAACUGGGAUUAAUACCGCAUAGUAUCGAAAGAUUAAAGCAGCAAUGCGCUUGGGGAUGGGCUCGCGGCCUAUUAGUUAGUUGGUGAGGUAACGGCUCACCAAGGCGAUGACGGGUAGCCGGUCUGAGAGGAUGUCCGGCCACACUGGAACUGAGACACGGUCCAGACACCUACGGGAGGCAGCAG
Molecule: ribosomal RNA, 259 nt
Filed under: uncultured bacterium
Lineage: Bacteria
Description: partial 16S ribosomal RNA
Rfam family: Bacterial small subunit ribosomal RNA
Source: RNAcentral